CCUCAUAAAGUGCGUCGUAGUCCGGAUUGGAGUCUGCAACUCGACUCCAUGAAGUCGGAAUCGCUAGUAAUCGUGGAUCAGAAUGCCACGGUGAAUACGUUCCCGGGCCUUGUACACACCGCCCGUCACACCAUGGGAGUGGGUUGCAAAAGAAGUAGGUAGCUUAACCUUCGGGAGGGCGCUUACCACUUUGUGAUUCAUGACUGGGGUGAAGUCGUAACAAGGUAACCGUAGGGGAACCUGCGGUUGGAUCACCUCCUUACCUUAAAGAA
Molecule: ribosomal RNA, 272 nt
Filed under: Salmonella enterica subsp. enterica serovar Typhimurium
Lineage: Bacteria; Pseudomonadati; Pseudomonadota; Gammaproteobacteria; Enterobacterales; Enterobacteriaceae
Also listed under: 1 other name
Description: partial 16S ribosomal RNA
Rfam family: Bacterial small subunit ribosomal RNA
Source: RNAcentral